UACGUAGGGUGCGAGCGUUGUCCGGAAUUACUGGGCGUAAAGAGCUCGUAGGUGGUUUGUCGCGUUGUCCGUGAAAACUCACAACUCAAUUGUGGGCGUGCGGGCGAUACGGGCAGACUGGAGUACUGCAGGGGAGACUGGAAUUCCUGGUGUAGCGGUGGAAUGCGCAGAUAUCAGGAAGAACACCAAUGGCGAAAGCAGCUUUCUGGGACGGUACUGACGCUGAGACGCGAAAGCGUGGGGAGCGAACAGG
Molecule: ribosomal RNA, 253 nt
Filed under: uncultured bacterium
Lineage: Bacteria
Description: partial 16S ribosomal RNA
Rfam family: Bacterial small subunit ribosomal RNA
Source: RNAcentral